Molecule: ribosomal RNA, 253 nt
Filed under: uncultured bacterium
Lineage: Bacteria
Description: partial 16S ribosomal RNA
Rfam family: Bacterial small subunit ribosomal RNA
Source: RNAcentral
UACGUAGGGUGCGAGCGUUGUCCGGAAUUACUGGGCGUAAAGAGCUCGUAGGUGGUUUGUCGCGUUGUUCGUGAAAACUCACAGCUCAACUGUGGGCGUGCGGGCGAUACGGGCAGACUGGAGUACUGCAGGGGAGACUGGAAUUCCUGGUGUAGCGGUGGAAUGCGCAGAUAUCAGGAGGAACACCAAUAGCGAAGGCAGCUCGCUGGGACGGUACUGACGCUAAGGCGCGAAAGCGUGGGGAGCGAACAGG